Molecule: long non-coding RNA, 363 nt
Filed under: Homo sapiens (human)
Lineage: Eukaryota; Metazoa; Chordata; Mammalia; Primates; Hominidae
Description: non-protein coding lnc-ACOT7-1:1
Source: RNAcentral
CCCCAGGUCAAGAAAACAUGAACACUCCCGACCCCCAGGUGAUCCCCCAGCGCAAUCCUCUCGCUUCCGUUGAGAGGUACCCGCUAUCCUGAGUUUUGUGAUAAUAAUUUCCUUGUUCUUUAUAGCUUUACCACCUACUUAUGUUCUCCUAACAGAGUUUUAGAUCAUUGCGUGUGUGGCAUGAUACUAUAGGUAUUCGUUGGUUUUUUUCUUUUGUUUUUUUUUUUUUUUCAGGCUGCCCGAGCCAGCAGUGGCAACCCACUCUGGUCCCCUUCCACGCUGUAGGAGUGUUGUUCUUUCGCUCUUUGGGUCCACACUGCCUUUAUGAGCCGUUAACAUUCACUGUGAAGGUCUGCAGCUUCA